Molecule: transfer RNA, 69 nt
Filed under: Marmota marmota marmota (Alpine marmot)
Lineage: Eukaryota; Metazoa; Chordata; Mammalia; Rodentia; Sciuridae
Also listed under: 4 other names
Rfam family: tRNA
About the family: Transfer RNA (tRNA) molecules are approximately 80 nucleotides in length. Their secondary structure includes four short double-helical elements and three loops (D, anti-codon, and T loops).
Source: Rfam by way of RNAcentral
GGGGUUGUGGCUCAGUGGUAGAGCACUUGCCUUGCAUGUGUGAGGCACUGGGUUUGAUCCUCAGCACCA